Oncorhynchus tshawytscha (Chinook salmon) is the source of this 2362-nucleotide long non-coding RNA. Lineage: Eukaryota; Metazoa; Chordata; Actinopteri; Salmoniformes; Salmonidae. The record is from Ensembl.
CUAGCACUCAUGUCUGUAGCCAUGAAGUGCUUUGAAAGGCAGGUCAUGGCUCACAUAGCACAUGCGACAAAUACAUUUAUUUGAUUUGAUUCUUGGGUCUCACAGACACUAACCACAAGCUAUUUCCUUUAGUUCUGCGCUGAAUCACAUAAGAAACAUUUCAUGGGUUGUCUUCUUUUGGCAUAUAGCUAAAGGGAAACUGUAGUUGUUCAGUAAUUUUGCUUCAUUGUGAAAGCAGACAGUAUGGAGGCGAUUCAAGAAUGGGUCAAACAAUCAAAGGGAAUUGUGCCUAAUGUGGCUUGUAGCUUCUGCCUUGUGGUCUUGGAGAAGAUUCUGGAGCUGGAGGUUCGGUGUCCCUGCAAUUAUAUAUAUAAAAUGUUCUUUACGAUUGCAUUCUUUAUCAUUCCUGCCCUGUUAUCAUUCUUGCUGAUGCUACAAGUUCAAGGAUCUAGGGGUAACAUAGUAAAAUGGAAGGCUUACUUGUCAAGCCUCAUUCCUUCGUUGGUGUGGUGGAUCGUACUGUUCUUUGAUGGCAGAUACGUUGCUUAUGCCAUGACAAAAUUAAAUGAAACAGGGGUCAUUCGUAAUGAAGAUUUUUCUGUGAAAAUGUGUGACGAAGCAGGGAAAGAUCAACAUCAGAAUUUCCUUUUUUGGGAAAUCUGUUCUCAGGGCAUUGGUAUGGCUCUGCUCUUGGUCGCCUGUGGGGCAGUUAUAGUAUCCAUAUGCAACAACUACACCUGGGAUUUAGGAGAAGUCAGUGAUGACGUUACAGAAAGAAGAAGAGGCAUCGGAAGCAGUGUAAGAACAGGAGGAGGAGGACGAGGAGGAAGAGGUGGAGGAGGACUAGGAGGAAGAGGAGGAGAAGGAACAGAAGCAGCACAGGCAUCAGAAGCAGGAGGAGGAGCAGGAGCAGGAGGAGGAGGAGGAGGAGGAACAGGAGCAGAAGCAGCACAGGCAUCAGAAGCAAGAGGAGGAGCAGGAGGAGUACAGGCAUUAGAAGCUGGUGGAGGAGGAGGAGGAGGAGGAGGAGCAGGAGGAGUACAGGCAUUAGAAGCAGGAGGACGAGGAGGAGGAGGAGCAGGAGCAGGAGGAGUACAGGCAUUAGAAGCAGGAGGAGGAGGAGGAGGAGGAGGAGCAGGAGAAGGAGGAGUACAGGCAUUAGAAGCAGGAGGAGGAGGAGGAGCAGGAGGAGUACAGGCAUUAGAAGCAGGAGGACGAGGAGCAGGUGCAGAAGCAGUACAGGCAUCAGAAGCAGGAGGAGGAGCAGGAGAAUCAGAAGCAGGAGGAGGAGAAGGAAGAGGAGCAGAAGAAGUAGAUGCUUUGCUUCCAGAAAUUUGACGUCACCCCAUUGAAGUUAUGAAUUAAAAAGGAUUCAGGUUAGGUUUAGGGUUUAGGGUGGGGUUGAAGAAGCUGUUGAGAUGGUACGCAGGCCCAGAAAUGGAUAAAAAUGUGCUGUAUAAAAUUACAUUGGUAAAAAUGGUAUGUUUGUUUUUUUCUUCUUCACACAAUCAAUAAGUAACCAAUUUAUAACGUUUUUAUUUCUGAGUGUGGAGAUUAAGGAGUGUUUUCUCUGACACAGAUUAAGCCUAGUCCUGGACUAAAAAACACGUUUAUUAGCGAGUCUCCAUUGAAAUGCUUUUUAGUCCAGGAUUAAGGUGUAUCCGUGUCCACAAAAGCGACACUAAGGCUGAGUUUACAAAGGAAGACCAACUCUGAUCUUUUGACAAUUAUUUGUUCUAUUUAAUACAGUACAUACAGUAUCUGAUGUUUUUUUUCCAGUGAGUAAAAAACAACAACAUAAAACACAUUGAAUCUGAUCUUUUGAGUUCUGGUUUGUACCACAUUUGUAUGUGGUUUCCAAUCAAUUCUGAUCCAUCAUGCAACAGUCUGGACGCUGAUUUCUUCCACAUGACCUGCAGUUGCCAAAACAACCACCCCAAAAUGUAAUGGAACAAUGACAGAAAAUGGACUGAAAAAACCCAUCUGAAUUGGGUUCCUACGUCCCUGCCACAUUACAGCCGUCGGUCGUCCUGCACUAUCAUCAGCCAUCAGCCAUUGAGGGAAUGCUUCCUUUGCAAUCAAUGAAAGCUACUGACAAGAGUAGUAGCUUAAGCCUCAGCUCUCUGUGACAUUGUAGAGACACAACUUGCAGAUACCCACGCACACUCAUGAAGAAGUUUCACUUUCACACGCAGAGCACAAAGAAGAAUGAACAUUGAGAGGGAAUUGGCAUUGAUUAAAGAAAAUAAGAAAUUAUUGGGAGUGGAAUUUGUUAAAAUAAUGAUUGAAGGUUAAAGGUUGGAAACGGGAAAAUAUACAGUCUGCAAUAUCCUGCUUAAAUUUGUCCACUUUGCCAAUGAAA